GAUGAAGAACGUAGCGAAAUGCGAUACGUAGUGUGAAUUGCAGAAUUCAGUGAAUCAUCGAAUCUUUGAACGCACAUUGCACCUCUCGGUAUUCCGGGAGGUAUGCCUGUUCGAGCGUCAUUUGUACCCUCAAGCUCUGCUUGGUGUUGGGUGUUUGUUCCGCCUCUGUGUGUGAACUCGACUCAAAACAAUUGGCAGCCGGCGUACUUGUUUCGGAGCGCAGCACAUUUUGCGAUCCAGAUCAACGUACAGCGGCAUCCAAGAAGCCUUAUUUAACGCUCUUGACCUCGGAUCAGGUAGGGAUACCCGCUGAACUUAAGCAUAUCAAUAAGCGGAGGA
RNAcentral lists this unclassified non-coding RNA (339 nucleotides) under soil metagenome. Its description in RNAcentral is "partial contains 5.8S ribosomal RNA, internal transcribed spacer 2, and large subunit ribosomal RNA". The stretch from base 1 to 120 matches the Rfam family "5.8S ribosomal RNA", at positions 35 to 154 of the family's 154-position model. The record is from RNAcentral.